RNAcentral lists this ribosomal RNA (253 nucleotides) under uncultured bacterium. RNAcentral's name for it is "partial 16S ribosomal RNA". It matches the Rfam family "Bacterial small subunit ribosomal RNA", at positions 524 to 776 of the family's 1533-position model. The record is from RNAcentral.
UACAGAGGGUGCGAACGUUGUUCGGAAUUACUGGGCGUAAAGCGCGUGUAGGCUGUCACGCAAGUCGGGUGUGAAAGCCCGGGGCUCAACCCCGGAAGUGCACUCGAAACUGCAUGACUUGAGUCUCGGAGAGGGCGGCGGAAUUCUGGGUGUAGAGGUGAAAUUCGUAGAUAUCCAGAGGAACACCGGUGGCGAAGGCGGCCGCCUGGACGAGAACUGACGCUGAGACGCGAAAGCGUGGGGAGCAAACAGG